This 253-nucleotide ribosomal RNA is filed under the name uncultured bacterium. RNAcentral describes it as "partial 16S ribosomal RNA". It matches the Rfam family "Bacterial small subunit ribosomal RNA", at positions 524 to 776 of the family's 1533-position model. The record is from RNAcentral.
UACGUAGGGUGCAAGCGUUGUCCGGAAUUAUUGGGCGUAAAGCGCGUGUAGGCGGUUUUGGAAGUCUGGUGUGAAAUCCCGGGGCUCAACUCCGGAAGUGCAUUGGAUACUGCUUAACUAGAGGACGAGAGAGGAUGGUGGAAUUCCUGGUGUAGGGGUGAAAUCCGUAGAUAUCAGGAGGAACAUCGGUGGCGAAGGCGGCCAUCUGGCUCGUAUCUGACGCUGAGACGCGAAAGCGUGGGGAGCAAACAGG